RNAcentral lists this ribosomal RNA (394 nucleotides) under uncultured bacterium. Its description in RNAcentral is "bacterial SSU rRNA". It matches the Rfam family "Bacterial small subunit ribosomal RNA", at positions 505 to 898 of the family's 1533-position model. The record is from RNAcentral.
GUGCCAGCAGCCGCGGUAAGACGAACCGUGCAAACGUUGUUCGGAAUCACUGGGCUUAAAGGGCGCGUAGGCGGGCCAGCCAGUCUGUGGUGAAAGCCCCCGGCUUAACCGGGGAAGUGCCGUGGAUACUGCUGGCCUCGAGGAGGGUAGGGGCAUCUGGAACGGUCGGUGGAGCGGUGAAAUGCGUUGAUAUCGACCGGAACUCCGGUGGCGAAGGCGAGGUGCUGGGCCCUUUCUGACGCUGAUGCGCGAAAGCCAGGGGAGCAAACGGGAUUAGAUACCCCGGUAGUCCUGGCCCUAAACGUUGAGGACUAGGUAGUGGACUUAACAUGGGUUCACUGUCGGAGCAAAAGUGCUAAGUCCUCCGCCUGGGGAGUAUGGUCGCAAGGCUGAA